Molecule: long non-coding RNA, 494 nt
Organism: Armigeres subalbatus
Lineage: Eukaryota; Metazoa; Arthropoda; Insecta; Diptera; Culicidae
Exons: 3
Source: RefSeq, a predicted model, not a curated record
CUCGAUUGUAAAAGCGGUGACAGGGUCUAGUCCUCCAGAUUCGGACACUGCUAAGGGUGACAAACGUAGAUGCCAACACAUCCGACACAGAUUCCACAAUAUACGGUUCACACGAUUGGCACUCGUUGGCAGCCAAAGACACAGAAGGCCUUCAAUAGAAGGCCUUUUGUUUGCAGCCUUGCAUUUGCCGGUGAAUCGACAUCUGUACGCUCGUUGAGCGAGUAUCGCACGGCGAUCCCAAGCUGGUGGUGCAACUUUGAGGUGCAGGGAAGUCACGGGUGGUGCAGCAGAUGAUACGCAUUGUGCGACAUUGAACCGGGUACGACGCAACAAAAGGUAGUGCGACGGAGAGCGUGCGACAUCAAGGAAGUAGCAUCGAUUUGCAGUGUGCAUUCUGCUCGUCCGAGAUUGCCAGGUGAUGCUUCAUGCAACAAAGGCACACUAGCGAAUGUGCGCUGAUAGCGAUAACGACGAUGCACCAGAUGCAGCAGGGG